This is a long non-coding RNA of Globicephala melas (long-finned pilot whale), 401 nucleotides long. RefSeq lists it as uncharacterized. The record is from RefSeq and is a predicted model, not a curated record. NCBI's taxonomy places the organism in Eukaryota, Metazoa, Chordata, Mammalia, Artiodactyla, Delphinidae.
GAAACACUCUCAAAUCUCAGAGGUUUCCAAGAUCAAGUCUUAACUUCUUAAUCGUACCUACCCAUUGGUGACAGUUGGCUAUGGGUGGCUGCAGUCCUAUCUCCUUUCUUCUGCGAUCCAGUGGAAGAAGCAGCCCCUGUCUGAGAAAUGGCCUUCUGAUGGCAGAAGGAAAAGAGCAAUUGCAGAACCACAUGCUUCUGGAUGAAAUAACCAUAGAAACAAGUUGCUUCUGUUUGGAUUACCAGCCACUGGAAAAUGGAAAUGUAGAAGAUGCUGAUAAAAAUAUAGAGUUGGAAUUUAAGGAUUGAAAUCCAAAUGAACUUAGGCUUCCUGCUUCAUCCUGCACCUGCCUUCUUGAAAGAAAACAAGACAUCAGAUACUUAUUCAAAUAAUGGAAUAGC